GCGGCGUGCCUAACACAUGCAAGUCGAACGGAAUUGAGGGGCUUGCUCCUUAAUUUAGUGGCGCACGGGUGAGUAACGCGUAGAUAAUCUGCCUGAUGAUCUGGGAUAACACUUCGAAAGGGGUGCUAAUACCGGAUAAGCCCACGAAGUCUUUGGACUUUGCGGGAAAAGGGGGGGACCUUUUGGCCUUCUGUCAUCAGAUGAGUCUGCGCACCAUUAGCUAGUUGGUAGGGUAAAGGCCUACCAAGGCUACGAUGGUUAGCUGGUCUGAGAGGAUGAUCAGCCACACUGGAACUGAGACACGGUCCAGACUCCUACGGGAGGCAACAGUGGGGAAUUUUGCGCAAUGGGCGAAAGCCUGACGCAGCAACGCCGCGUGAGUGAUGAAGGCUUUCGGGUCGUAAAGCUCUGUCGAGGGGAAAGAAGUGUAUUGAGGCUAAUAUCCUUGAUACUUGACGGUACCCCUAAAGGAAGCACCGGCUAACUCCGUGCCAGCAGCCGCGGUAAUACGGGGGGUGCAAGCGUUGUUCGGAAUUAUUGGGCGUAAAGCGCGUGUAGGCGGUUUGAUUAGUCUGAUGUGAAAGCCCUGGGCUCAACCCAGGAAGUGCAUUGGAAACUGUCAGACUUGAAUACGGGAGAGGGUAGUGGAAUUCCUAGUGUAGGAGUGAAAUCCGUAGAUAUUAGGAGGAACACCGGUGGCGAANGCGGCUACCUGGACCGAUAUUGACGCUGAGACGCGAAAGCGUGGGUAGCAAACAGGAUUAGAUACCCUGGUAGUCCACGCCGUAAACGAUGAGUACUAGGUGUUGCGGGUAUUGACCCCUGCAGUGCCGCAGCUAACGCAUUAAGUACUCCGCCUGGGAAGUACGGUCGCAAGACUAAACUCAANGAAUUGACGGGGGCCCGC
This 907-nucleotide ribosomal RNA is filed under the name uncultured bacterium. Its description in RNAcentral is "bacterial SSU rRNA". It matches the Rfam family "Bacterial small subunit ribosomal RNA", at positions 39 to 924 of the family's 1533-position model. The record is from RNAcentral.